RNAcentral lists this long non-coding RNA (1523 nucleotides) under Brassica napus (rape). RNAcentral's name for it is "long non-coding RNA (BNAP_LNC006714)". Lineage: Eukaryota; Viridiplantae; Streptophyta; Magnoliopsida; Brassicales; Brassicaceae. The record is from RNAcentral.
CGGCUAUAGGCAUGCUUUAACUAUGUAUUAUGAGUUUAGGUAUGCAAUUCAAAUUCUUAUUUAGUUUAGGAAUGUUUUGGUAUGUUAAUAUUGUUUGGGUAUGUAUUUUCCAUGGCUUCAUAGUGUGGACAUGAAUAAGUCGUUUUCCGCUCCAUGUGACAUGACGGUCGACUCCAAACCUAAAAAAAUAAUAGUCGCAAUUUUUUUUUCCAUCUAUUUUUAUUAUAAUAAAAGGCCGAAGAAAAAGCCCGUACACACACACACAACACAAACCCCAGGGCCCAACACAACAUAACAGCCCAACCCAAAAAACAAAACCGACACAUGCAUCCAAAGAACAGCAAAGGUAGGCCACGUGUUGAAGCCUCAAACAACAAGGAGCAAACACGCGUUACACAGGCCCCACAUCACCACCGUCGAGAGAGCAACGCCGAAGAACUGAACGGCGUUUCACUGGUCCACACCGGGAACAUGGAGCUACGACUCAAAUCUUCAUCUCCUUGGCUUCUGUCAACGGAGAGCGUCUAUCGAAACAACUCUAGAUCUCAUCCGUAACAUGAAACCACCACACCCAUCGACUACAGAUCAAUCAUCUACACCUCGAACACCUUCUUUGCCUGAUCUCAAACCACCGGAGAACUUCAAUCGACCUAGAUCGAGAUCUCCUCCAAGACGAACAAACCAUCACAAUCAUCAAAAUCACCACAGAGCCGCUGUCGACCGAGUGAUAAAAUCGACGCGGAGACUUAAGCCGACCGUUCACCUUUGAUGAACAGGUACAACGUCGGAGUUAAAAAGCGACAGACCACCGAUAGAAAAGUACGACGCCGGAAGCAAGAACACGAAACGUAUUGACAAAAAAACAACAGCAAACAGCAAAUCCCGACCGACGACGUGUCUGUGUAAGCCCACCGUCGUCGGCCAGAAAAACGAUCGGAAUCUCUUGCCUUUUAGUGAGAAGAUGGAGGAUUUCUAGAGAUGUAUAAUUAUUGUAAAUAAUAGUCACAAGUUAGAUAUAUGUAAAACAAAUUAUGUAAAGUAUAAAAAUUAAAAAGUAUUUGGCUACUGAUCGGGUUCAAGACAUCAAAACCUUCUUAUCCCGGCUGGGCAAAAAGAUCUUUGACGGUAUAUCAAGUGUAAGGAGUAUCUGAGGAAACUAUCAAAUCUUGAUUAACUCCGGCUACAGGGGUAGGAAGUGCAUCUGGACCAGCAGGGGGAGCAACCGGUGCUGCAGUGGGAGAAACCAGAGGUGCAGCAAGAGGAUGCGGUGGUGGAGCUCUCUGGGACGACUAUGAGCUAAAGACUACUCCAGAGCCAAAGAUGGACCCAAUGAUUUAGAAGUGCCAACAUGUCAUGUGCCGAACGUCUCACUAUAAUGUAGACGGUUUAGUCAUCUAUUUCUAGGAGUCCUCUACAAAAGAAAAGACAAUUCAAAUUAAAAGAAAUUUAAAAACCAACAAUUUCUAAUUCUGCAACUUAAUAUUUUACAAUGAAUAUUCUCUUAUGUGGUAAUUCGUCGUAAU